This is an RNA transcript of Sapajus apella (tufted capuchin), 907 nucleotides long. It is a transcript of the gene named ferritin light chain pseudogene, with no coding region annotated. NCBI's taxonomy places the organism in Eukaryota, Metazoa, Chordata, Mammalia, Primates, Cebidae. The record is from RefSeq and is a predicted model, not a curated record. The transcript is spliced from 2 exons.
AUGGGGCUGGGGAGGGAGGAGGCCGAUGAUGAGAGGCCUGGUUUGCCUUUGGUCUUGAACACAUUGAAUUCUCCGCCUCCCUUCACCUAUGAGCCCUUGGUUCCUUGUCCUUCCACAGUCCCGCAGAUCUGUCUUUUGCUUCAACAGUGUUUGGACAGAACAGAUCCCGGACUCUUUCUUCCAGCCUCCAACCGCUCUCCGAUUUCCUCUCCACUUGCAACCUCUGGGACCAUCUUCUCGGCCACCUCCUGCUUCUGGGGACCUGCUAACACCGUUUUUGUGGUUAGCUCCUUCUUGCCAACCAACCAUGGGCUCCCAGAUUCCACCAAGGUGGAGGCAGCCGUCAUCAGCCUGGUCCAUGUGUACCUGCAGGCCUCCUACACCUCCCUCUCUCUGGGCUAUUUGGACCGUGAUGAUGUGGCUCUGGAAGGCGUGAGCCACUUCUUCCGUGAAUCGGCCGAGGAGAAGCGCGAGGGCUAUGAGUGUCUCCUGAAGAUACAAAACCAGUGCCACGCUCUCUUCCAGGACAUCAAGAAGCCGGCUCAAGAUGAGGGGGGCAAAACCCUGGGCGCUGUGGAAGCCGCCAUGGCCCUGGAGAAAAAUCUGAACCAGGACCUUUUGGAUCUUCAUGCCCAGAGUUCUGCCCACAUGGACCCCCAUCUCUGUGGCUUCCUGGAGAGUCACUUCCUAGAUGACGAAGUGAAAAUCAUCAAGAAGAUGGGUGACCAUGUGACCGACCUCCACAGGCUGGCCAGCCCUGCAGGGUGGGCUGGGCGAGUAUCUCUUCGAAAGGCUCACUCUCAAGCAUGACUAAGAGCCUGCUGAGCCCAGCCCAGCGACUUCGAAGGGGUCCUUACAAAAUAACAGGGCUUCUGCCUAAGCCUCUCCCUCCAGCCACUAGACAGCU